CAAUAGCGUAUAUUAAAGUUGUUGCAGUUAAAAAGCUCGUAGUUGGAUUUCUGGUGGGAGCGAUCGGUCUGGCGCUUAGCGCGAGUACUUGCAUCGUCUCCGGCCAUCCUUGGGGAGAGUCUGUCUGGCAUUAGGUUGUCGGGCAGAGGAUCCUCAUCGUUUACUGUGAAAAAAUUAGAGUGUUCAAAGCAGGCUUAUGCCGUUGUAUAUAUUAGCAUGGAAUAAUAAGAUAGGACUUUGGUACUAUUUUGUUGGUUUGCGCACCAAAGUAAUGAUUAAUAGGGACAGUUGGGGGUAUUCGUAUUCCGUUGUCAGAGGUGAAAUUCUUGGAUUUACGAAAGACGAACUACUGCGAAAGCAUUUGCCAAGAAUGUUUUCAUUAA
This 383-nucleotide ribosomal RNA is filed under the name uncultured eukaryote. RNAcentral's name for it is "partial 18S ribosomal RNA". It matches the Rfam family "Eukaryotic small subunit ribosomal RNA", at positions 592 to 976 of the family's 1831-position model. The record is from RNAcentral.